UACGUAGGGAGCGAGCGUUGUCCGGAAUGACUGGGUGUAAAGGGAGCGUAGGCGGGAUGGCAAGUCAGAUGUGAAAACUGAGGGCUCAACCUUCAGACUGCAUUUGAAACUGCUGUUCUUGAGUGAGGUAGAGGUAAGCGGAAUUCCUGGUGUAGCGGUGAAAUGCGUAGAGAUCAGGAGGAACAUCGGUGGCGAAGGCGGCUUACUGGGCCUUUACUGACGCUGAGGCUCGAAAGCGUGGGGAGCAAACAGG
This 253-nucleotide ribosomal RNA is filed under the name uncultured bacterium. Its description in RNAcentral is "partial 16S ribosomal RNA". It matches the Rfam family "Bacterial small subunit ribosomal RNA", at positions 524 to 776 of the family's 1533-position model. The record is from RNAcentral.